RNAcentral lists this ribosomal RNA (253 nucleotides) under uncultured bacterium. RNAcentral's name for it is "partial 16S ribosomal RNA". It matches the Rfam family "Bacterial small subunit ribosomal RNA", at positions 524 to 776 of the family's 1533-position model. The record is from RNAcentral.
UACAGAGGUGGCAAGCGUUGUUCGGAAUUACUGGGCGUAAAGGGCGCGUAGGCGGCCUUCUAAGUCAGACGUGAAAUCCCCAGGCUCAACCUGGGAACUGCGUCCGAUACUGGAUGGCUUGAAUUCGGGAGAGGGAUGCAGAAUUCCAGGUGUAGCGGUGAAAUGCGUAGAUAUCUGGAGGAAUACCGGUGGCGAAGGCGGCAUCCUGGACCGACAUUGACGCUGAGGAGCGAAAGCUAGGGGAGCAAACGGG